This 305-nucleotide ribosomal RNA is filed under the name uncultured bacterium. RNAcentral's name for it is "bacterial SSU rRNA". It matches the Rfam family "Bacterial small subunit ribosomal RNA", at positions 337 to 655 of the family's 1533-position model. The record is from RNAcentral.
GCCUACGGGACGCAGCAGUGAGGAAUAUUGGUCAAUGGUCGGGAGACUGAACCAGCCAAGCCGCGUGAGGGAGGAAGGUACAGAGUAUUGUAAACUUCUUUUAUUCGGGACGAAACAAAUGACGGUACCGAAUGAAUAAGCCACGGCUAACUACGUGCCAGCAGCCGCGGUAAUACGUAGGUGGCAAGCGUUAUCCGGAUUUACUGGGUGUAAAGGGCGUGUAGGCGGGAGAGCAAGUCAGACGUGAAAUUCCAGGGCUCAACCCUGGAACUGCGUUUGAAACUGUUCUUCUUGAGUGAUGGAGG